RNAcentral lists this ribosomal RNA (483 nucleotides) under uncultured bacterium. RNAcentral describes it as "partial 16S ribosomal RNA". It matches the Rfam family "Bacterial small subunit ribosomal RNA", at positions 30 to 507 of the family's 1533-position model. The record is from RNAcentral.
AUUGAACGCUGGCGGCAGGCCUAACACAUGCAAGUCGAGCGGAUGAAGGGAGCUUGCUCCUGGAUUCAGCGGCGGACGGGUGAGUAAUGCCUAGGAAUCUGCCUGGUAGUGGGGAAUACGGUCGGAAACGGGGCGUAAUACCGCAUUAGGUCUGGGGGGGAAAGGGGGGGGUUUUUGGGCCCUCACGCUUCCAGUUGGGCUAGGUCGGAUUAGCUAGUUGGUGGGGUAAAGGCCUACCAAGGCGACGAUCCGUAACUGGUCUGAGAGGAUGAUCAGUCACACUGGAACUGAGACACGGUCCAGACUCCUACGGGAGGCAGCAGUGGGGAAUAUUGGACAAUGGGCGAAAGCCUGAUCCAGCCAUGCCGCGUGUGUGAAGAAGGUCUUCGGAUUGUAAAGCACUUUAAGUUGGGAGGAAGGGCAGUAAGUUAAUACCUUGCUGUUUUGACGUUACCAACAGAAUAAGCACCGGCUAACUUCGUG